UAGGGAAUCUUCGGCAAUGGACGAAAGUCUGACCGAGCAACGCCGCGUGAGUGAAGAAGGUUUUCGGAUCGUAAAACUCUGUUGUUAGAGAAGAACAAGGACGUUAGUAACUGAACGUCCCCUGACGGUAUCUAACCAGAAAGCCACGGCUAACUACGUGCCAGCAGCCGCGGUAAUACGUAGGUGGCAAGCGUUGUCCGGAUUUAUUGGGCGUAAAGCGAGCGCAGGCGGUUUCUUAAGUCUGAUGUGAAAGCCCCCGGCUCAACCGGGGAGGGUCAUUGGAAACGGGGAGACUUGAGUGCAGAAGAGGAGAGUGGAAUUCCAUGUGUAGCGGUGAAAUGCGUAGAUAUAUGGAGGAACACCAGUGGCGAAGGCGGCUCUCUGGUCUGUAACUGACGCUGAGGCUCAAAAGCGUGGGGAGCAAACAGG
Molecule: ribosomal RNA, 429 nt
Filed under: Gemmatimonadota bacterium
Lineage: Bacteria; Pseudomonadati; Gemmatimonadota
Description: Gemmatimonadetes bacterium partial 16S ribosomal RNA
Rfam family: Bacterial small subunit ribosomal RNA
Source: RNAcentral